Molecule: transfer-messenger RNA, 344 nt
Filed under: Lachnospiraceae
Lineage: Bacteria; Bacillati; Bacillota; Clostridia; Lachnospirales
Also listed under: 1 other name
Description: UBA3766 sp016285575 Standard tmRNA
Rfam family: transfer-messenger RNA
About the family: Bacterial tmRNA, also known as 10Sa RNA or SsrA, is named for its dual tRNA and mRNA-like properties.
Source: RNAcentral
GGGCCAGUAAUGGUUUCGACAGGGGUUUUGCACCUUUAGAAGCUAUCCGUCCGUGACGCGUCAGUUCGCAAACUUAAAUAUAAACGCUGAUAAUAAAUUAGCAUUCGCUGCCUAAUCGCAGCGUGUCCGUGAUAUCAGUACCUGUCUUGAUAUCUUAGGGCAUCAUUUACUGACAGGAAACGACGAAGAGGUUGACUCGACUCUUCGGGCGUAUUUAGAGCCUACCAAGUCAGAUUGAUUGUCAAUCAUCUGUUUGAUGAGGGAAUGCCUAAUGAUUGACUGUGAUAGGAGAAGGAGAGGGAAUCUGCUUUUGGACACGGGUUCGACUCCCGUCUGGUCCAUAA